Ornithodoros turicata is the source of this 176-nucleotide long non-coding RNA. RefSeq lists it as uncharacterized. Lineage: Eukaryota; Metazoa; Arthropoda; Arachnida; Ixodida; Argasidae. The transcript is spliced from 3 exons. The record is from RefSeq and is a predicted model, not a curated record.
AGCUGCUGCACUGCACCACCCUCCGAUUGAGCAGCAGUGCAACUGUUGACCGCUCCCUCGAAUCACGUAUUUCGUUGCAGGGGGUGCUCUUCCUAUUGCAGCUUCAGACAGAUGCCCGCAAUGAUACGUUAAAGUGGGUAAGAAAAUGACCGAAGGUCGGUUUUCCGGACGGCUAA